GGUCAAGCUACCAAGGGCGCAUGGGGGAUGUCUUGGCAUUAGGAGGCUUUGAAGGGCGCGGAAGGCUGCGAAAAGCCUGGGGUAACCGUCAAACAGGUGAUGAUCCCGGGAUUCCCGAACUGGCUGUAACUGAAUACAUAGGUUGCAGUGGCCAACGCGGAGAACUGAAACAUCUAAGUAUCCGUAGGAAUAGAAAGAAAAAUCGAUUUCCUGAGUAGCGGCGAGCGAAAGGGAAAUAGCCCAAACCGUGGUGGUUUCCACUGCGGGGUUGUAGGGCCCUCCACCGGAGUUAUCAAACAAUUAGCUAGCAGAACGACUUGGAAAGGUCGUCCAUAGAGGGUGACAGACCCGUACGCGAAAGUUAAUUGUCUCUGGAGGGUACCCUGAGUAGGUCGAGGCACGUGAAACCUCGACUGAAUCUACGGGGACCAUCCCGUAAGGCUAAAUACUCCCUAAUGACCGAUAGUAAACAAGUAGAGCGAUCGAAAGAUGAGAAGAACCCCUGUUAGGGGAGGAAUGUGAACCUGAAACCAUGUGCCUACAAGCGGUCGGAGCGCUAUGGCCUUUUUGGCAAUGCGUGACGGCGUGCCUUUUGCAUAAUGAUCCGGCGAGUUACCGUCAGCGGCUCGGUUAAGGCCUUUCGGGCCGAAGCCAUAGGGAAACCGAGUCUGAAUAGGGCGACUAUUGGUCGCUGGUGGUAGACGCGAAACUGCACGAACUACCCAUGAGCAGGUUGAAUCGCGGGUAAAACCGCGUGGAGGACCGAACCCACUUGGGUUGAAAACCGAGGGGAUGACUUGUGGGGAGGAGUGAAAGUCUAAUCAAGCGCAGAGAUAGCUCGUUCUCUCCGAAAUAGCUUUAGGGCUAGCCUCGGGCAAUAGACAGUGGGGGUAGAGAGACUGAAUUGGAUGGGGGCCCUUCCCGGGUACCUCACCGAACCAAACUCCGAAUACCAUUGUCCGUACCCCGGGAGUCAGUCCGCGAGGGAUAAGCUUCGCGGUCGAGAGGGAAACAACCCAGACCACCUGCUAAGGUCCCCAAGUAAAACUCAGUCACUAAGGAAGUGAUUUUGCUAUGACAGCCAGGAUGUUGGCUUAGAAGCAGCCACCAUUUAAAAAGUGCGUAACAGCUUACUGGUCGAGCAAUUUUGCGCCGAUAAUGAACGGGAGUUAAGUUUUACACCGAAGCAGUGGGAUCCACUUUGUGGAUCGGUAGGAGAGCGCUGUACGUCAGAUACAAGUCGCACCGAAAGGAGCGAUGGUGGGGCGUACAGGUGAUUAUGCCGGAAUGAGUAACGAUAAAGCAGGUGAGAAUCCUGCUCGCCGAAAGCCUAAGGUUUCCUGGGGAAGGUAAAUCCGCCCAGGGUUAGCCGGUUCCUUAGUCGAGGCCGAAAGGCGUAGA
This 1401-nucleotide ribosomal RNA is filed under the name Pirellulales bacterium. Its description in RNAcentral is "partial 23S ribosomal RNA". It matches the Rfam family "Bacterial large subunit ribosomal RNA", at positions 1 to 1415 of the family's 2925-position model. Lineage: Bacteria; Pseudomonadati; Planctomycetota; Planctomycetia; Pirellulales. The record is from RNAcentral.